Molecule: transfer RNA, 57 nt
Filed under: Capra hircus (goat)
Lineage: Eukaryota; Metazoa; Chordata; Mammalia; Artiodactyla; Bovidae
Also listed under: 1 other name
Rfam family: tRNA
About the family: Transfer RNA (tRNA) molecules are approximately 80 nucleotides in length. Their secondary structure includes four short double-helical elements and three loops (D, anti-codon, and T loops).
Source: Rfam by way of RNAcentral
UAGCUCAGCUGGUAAAGAAUCUGCCUGUAAAGCAGGAGACCCUGGUUCGAUUCCUGG